GGCAGGCUACCCAUGCAUUACGAGCGAGAAGCUAACUUCGGUUAGCUGGACAGCGGCGCACGGGUGAGUAACGCGUGUGGAAUUUACCUUUCGGCGGGGGACAACAGUUGGAAACGACUGCUAAUACCGCACACGCCCUACGGGGUGAAAGAUUUAUCACCGGAAAGAUAGGCCCGACGUUAGAUUAGGUAGUUGGUAGGGUCAAAGCCUACCAAGCCGACGAUCUAUAGCUGGUUUGAGAGAACGACUCAGCCACACUGGAACUGAGACACGGUCCAGACUCCUACGGGAGGCAGCAGUGGGGAAUCUUGCACAAUGGGCGAAAGCCUGAUGCAGCCAUGCCGCCGUGAGUGCUAAGGCCUUC
This 364-nucleotide ribosomal RNA is filed under the name uncultured bacterium. RNAcentral describes it as "bacterial SSU rRNA". It matches the Rfam family "Bacterial small subunit ribosomal RNA", at positions 41 to 419 of the family's 1533-position model. The record is from RNAcentral.